RNAcentral lists this long non-coding RNA (2442 nucleotides) under Homo sapiens (human). Its description in RNAcentral is "HSALNT0165207". Lineage: Eukaryota; Metazoa; Chordata; Mammalia; Primates; Hominidae. The record is from RNAcentral.
AGUGCAGUGGCGCAAUCUCUGCCCACUGCAACCUCCACCUCACGGGUUCAAGUGAUUCUCCCUUCUCAGCUUCCCAAGUAGCUGGGAUUACAGGCACGUGCCAGCACUCCCAACUAAUUUUUGUAUUUUUAGGAGAGACAGGGUUUUGCCCAUGUUGGUCAGGCUGGUCUUGAACUCCUGACCUCAAAGUGAUCCAGCCGCCUCGGCCUCCCAAAGUGCUGGGAUUAUAGACGUGAGCCACCGCACCUGGCCUUGUACAAGAACUUUAUAUCUACCAAUCUGUCUAUAAUCACAGAAGACAUGGCAGCAGACGAGAGGGCAUUUUAGAAAUGUAUACCCACUCUUUUCUGCUUCUCCCCAGGAGUGACCCACAUCACAGGUUCAUGCCUGCCUUCAAAAGUCCUCUCAGUGAAAGAUUGGCGAGAAACAGUAAAACCUACCAUAAGAUGCCAGGCCUGCUGUUAGCCAUAGAGAGGUCUAAUAGUCACAGGCAAUUAGAGUGGACAGUAAUGAAGACUGCUUUGAUCUCUGAGUGGCUUGGUAAUUGCACAAAGAGAGGUCUCUUCUCUAUUCUCAUGGUUAAAACUCUUAUCAUCCGUCCAUUCAUUCUAAAUCCACUUGUUGAGCACCGCUAUUGUCCAUUGCCAGAACAAUCCUGCAGCUUACUCAUCUUGUUAUGUUAGGGAAGUGCAGGAUCACGAGGGCAUGACUAGCCAUGUCAAUCUUUGUAUCCAAUGCCUGGAUAAAUAUUUGACAUACAGAUUAAGACUGCAUUUCUCUAAUAGAUAACUAGUUUCUUUGCUCUAGGUAGGUAACUUGAAAAUGUCAAGCACAUCAUUAAACUUGAAUUUUAAGGUGAACAUCUGGAAAGGAAGAGUGGUUGAGAAUGCCCUGAACUUACGCCACUCAAGUUUCAGUGAUGUGUAUCAAGGGGAUUCAGAACAUAGACAGGAUCCUAGAAAAGCAAACGUCAGAGGGCUCCACAUCAGCUGCUCAUUAUGGAAUGUGGACUGGGUUGGUGACAGAAGGUUGAAAACCAGGAUGAGACUUGAGAGUGUACUUUUUAACUGAACAGGGGUUUCUCUAUGAAACUGCUGUGAAAGUCCCCGCUUCAGACAUGGAUGGGUCCCAGCCUGCUCUCAUGGUGUCCAUGGUGAGAGUCACAACAUCACCUGAGAGUGCAAAUCACUUGACACACAGGCUACUAAACAAGGGACCCUGACUGCUACAGUUAAGGUGGGGCAGACACUGAGAUCUGUGUUGACCUUGGCCCAUGUGUGUUAGUGCAGGGGAGACCUCUGUGCUCAGGAACUGGUUAGGACCUGAAUUUCUGAAAUAACUGCUUCAGUCCCCUAUUCCAAUCAGCCUGUGCCUACAGAUCUCAAAUGGCCCUCCCUGCUUGUUCUCUGUGCUGGAGAGCAAACCAGACCCCUGUGGCCCAUGGCACUGAUGGAUCUGAAGCUUCUUCUUGGGGUUUGAAGUAUCCACAUUCCAGGCCUUCAACAUCAUAGGAGAUUUUUUUCUCUCCACACACUUCAACUACGCUGACUUUUCCCUUAGCAAGAAGUAGGUUUGGCUUAAGUAUUGGGGUAGGUAGUGGUCACUUUCAGGGGGUCUUCCCAGACCAUCAUGAUCUUGCAUCUAUCCCAGUGGCCAUAUUGUACCACGGGACCCACUCCCCAAGUUUAGUUGAUUGGACCAGAGGUGGGCAUCUGAGACAGAAAGACUCAUUUCCACAGGAGUUUCCAAUUGAUCCCAUUGGAGAGUUUCUGAUUUCUGUGCAGCCGUCUUUAGGACACAUGAUUCUUAAUGCUUGGGUAGUCAAGAGACCAGGAAGCAGAGGAAGCUGGUGUGCAAAAGAGGGAAAGAUGCAAAGAUGCACAGGGAGAAGCAGAAGCCAGGGAGAGAGCAUGCCAUUACCUGAGUCCCCCUAGUCCUUUUUAAGCCCAUUUGGAACCCUUUAUUCAGAGAAAAAAACACUUCUCUUGGUUUAUGCUACAUCCAAGUGUUUUCUCUUACUUGUAAUAAAAAAGCCAUUCUGAGCUCCCUCGAUGAAUGUGUUUCGGUGUGGUCUCUGAGUAGUUUGCUCAUUAUUGUGUAACUGACUUAUAUUUCAGAAGCUGCCACAAAUUUGGGUUUUUUUUUUUUCAGUAACUGGAGAAUGAUCUUAGCAGAGAACCUGGGCUGCAUGCUGUCUUGAAGUGUGGCUUUUGUUUUAUAGACAUGUUGUCCUAUAUAUGAAAUGUAGGAGUGUCGGGAAGAGGGAUGGGACUGGGGGGUCCCAUCCAGAAAGAGAAGUCUCCCUGGUUUGUGUAAACUAAGGAGAGAGUGGCUGAUUUUCUAUCAGGAAAGAGGUUGUUUGCCCCCCCCCUUUUUUUUUUUUGAGAUGGAGUCUCGCUCUUUCGCCCAGGCCAGAGUGCAGUGGCGCAAUCUCAGCUCACU